This 253-nucleotide ribosomal RNA is filed under the name uncultured bacterium. RNAcentral's name for it is "partial 16S ribosomal RNA". It matches the Rfam family "Bacterial small subunit ribosomal RNA", at positions 524 to 776 of the family's 1533-position model. The record is from RNAcentral.
UACGUAGGGUGCGAGCGUUAAUCGGAAUUACUGGGCGUAAAGCGUGCGCAGGCGGUUUUGUAAGCCAGAUGUGAAAUCCCCGGGCUUAACCUGGGAAUGGCAUUUGGGACUGCAAGGCUGGAGUGUGGCAGAGGAGACUGGAAUUCCUGGUGUAGCAGUGAAAUGCGUAGAUAUCGGGAGGAACAUCAGUGGCGAAGGCGGCUGCCUGGCCCAAUACUGACACUCAGGUGCGACAGCGUGGGGAGCAAACAGG